Molecule: long non-coding RNA, 364 nt
Organism: Bombyx mori (domestic silkworm)
Lineage: Eukaryota; Metazoa; Arthropoda; Insecta; Lepidoptera; Bombycidae
Exons: 2
Source: RefSeq, a predicted model, not a curated record
AGUUAAGUUCAUAGUGAAUUAAGUACUCACUGAGCUUGAGCUCGUCCUCUGUGGAGGUGGAGGCUGUAUCCGUGAGCUGUUCCUUGGACGAGUUGCCGAUAGGGAUGUUGUUAUUGACGUUGUAAAUAGAUUUACCUGCGGGAGAGAACGUUUCACUAUAUAAACCCGUAUUUGAAGACGUCCGAUUAACUUGAAACUUUGCAGACGCAUCAAGGAAGAUGACAAUACAGAAAUUUACUAACUUCACUCUAAUAUGCAGAUCAGUUUCAACAGGAUAAAAAAAUAUAUAAUAAUUCGCAUUGUUAUUUAAGCGUGUUUUUUCUGUCUAGUCUCAUUAUUUUCAAAUUACAUUACUUUUAAAUUU